Molecule: ribosomal RNA, 301 nt
Filed under: uncultured bacterium
Lineage: Bacteria
Description: partial 16S ribosomal RNA
Rfam family: Bacterial small subunit ribosomal RNA
Source: RNAcentral
CAGCCGCCACGGUAAAACGAAGGGGGCUAGCGUUGUUCGGAAUCACUGGGCGUAAAGGGUGCGUAGGCGGAUUCUUAAGUCAGGGGUGAAAUCCCGAGGCUCAACCUCGGAACUGCCUUUGAUACUGGGGAUCUUGAGUCCGGAAGAGGUGAGUGGAACUGCGAGUGUAGAGGUGAAAUUCGUAGAUAUUCGCAAGAACACCGGUGGCGAAGGCGGCUCACUGGUCCGGAACUGACGCUGAGGCACGACAGCGUGGGGAGCAAACAGGAUUAGAUACCCCGGUAGUCCCUGUCUCUUAUAC